GUGGCUGUGGCUCAGUGAUAGAGCGCUCACCUAGCAUGUGCGAGGCACUGGGUUCAAUUCUCAGCACCACA
RNAcentral lists this transfer RNA (71 nucleotides) under Marmota marmota marmota (Alpine marmot). It matches the Rfam family "tRNA". Rfam says of the family: Transfer RNA (tRNA) molecules are approximately 80 nucleotides in length. RNAcentral also lists the same sequence under 1 other name. Lineage: Eukaryota; Metazoa; Chordata; Mammalia; Rodentia; Sciuridae. The record is from Rfam by way of RNAcentral.